AGUGUAGACGGAGUGGCAAGUCUGAUGUGAAAACCCGGGGCUCAACCCCGGGACUGCAUUGGAAACUGUCUGGCUCGAGUGCCGGAGAGGUAAGCGGAAUUCCUAGUGUAGCGGUGAAAUGCGUAGAUAUUAGGAAGAACACCAGUGGCGAAGGCGGCUUACUGGACGGUAACUGACGUUGAGGCUCGAAAGCGUGGGGAGGCAAAACA
This 209-nucleotide ribosomal RNA is filed under the name uncultured bacterium. RNAcentral describes it as "partial 16S ribosomal RNA". It matches the Rfam family "Bacterial small subunit ribosomal RNA", at positions 568 to 776 of the family's 1533-position model. The record is from RNAcentral.